AGCAGCCGCGGUAAUUCCAGCUCCAAUAGCGUAUAUUAAAGUUGUUGCAGUUAAAAGCUCGUAGUUGAAUUUCGGGGUUAGUAGGUUGGUCAUGCCUCUGGUAUGUACUGGUCUCACUGAUUCCUCCUUCCUGAUGAACCUUAAUGCCAUUAAUUUGGUGUUUUGGGGAAUUUGGACUGUUACUUUGAAAAAUUGAGUGUUUAAAGCAGGCAUUUUUGCUUGAAUACAUUAGCAUGGAAUAAUAAAAUAGGACGGCAUGGUUCUAUUUUGUUGGUUUCUAGGACCACCGUAAUGAUUAAUAGGGAUAGUUGGGGGCAUUAGUAUUCAAUUGUCAGAGGUGAAAUUCUUGGAUUUAUUGAAGACUAACUACUGCGAAAGCAUUUGCCAAGGAUGUUUUCAUUAAUCAAGAACGAAAGUUAGGGAUCGAAGACGAUCAGAUACCGUCGUAGUCUUAACCAUAAACUAUGCCGACUAGGGAUCGGAUGAUGUUAAUUUUUAAUGUACUCAUUCGGCGCCUUAC
Molecule: unclassified non-coding RNA, 520 nt
Filed under: uncultured Glomus
Lineage: Eukaryota; Fungi; Glomeromycota; Glomeromycetes; Glomerales; Glomeraceae
Description: SSU rRNA
Rfam family: Eukaryotic small subunit ribosomal RNA
Source: RNAcentral